RNAcentral lists this ribosomal RNA (1503 nucleotides) under Salmonella enterica subsp. enterica serovar Enteritidis. RNAcentral's name for it is "partial 23S ribosomal RNA". It matches the Rfam family "Bacterial large subunit ribosomal RNA", at positions 86 to 1495 of the family's 2925-position model. Lineage: Bacteria; Pseudomonadati; Pseudomonadota; Gammaproteobacteria; Enterobacterales; Enterobacteriaceae. The record is from RNAcentral.
GUGAUAUGAACCGUUAUAACCGGCGAUACCCGAAUGGGGAAACCCAGUGUGACUCGUCACACUAUCAUUAACUGAAUCCAUAGGUUAAUGAGGCGAACCGGGGGAACUGAAACAUCUAAGUACCCCGAGGAAAAGAAAUCAACCGAGAUUCCCCCAGUAGCGGCGAGCGAACGGGGAGGAGCCCAGAGCCUGAAUCAGCAUGUGUGUUAGUGGAAGCGUCUGGAAAGGCGCGCGAUACAGGGUGACAGCCCCGUACACAAAAGCGCAUGUGCUGUGAGCUCGAUGAGUAGGGCGGGACACGUGGUAUCCUGUCUGAAUAUGGGGGGACCAUCCUCCAAGGCUAAAUACUCCUGACUGACCGAUAGUGAACCAGUACCGUGAGGGAAAGGCGAAAAGAACCCCGGCGAGGGGAGUGAAAAAGAACCUGAAACCGUGUACGUACAAGCAGUGGGAGCCCCACCACCAAAGCAUUUGCUGUACCGCGUUGACGGAGCGAAGCGACGUCAAACCGAUAAAACAGCAGUGUAAAGUGAGCCGCAGGGCGCUUUGCGCGACAGCGCAAAGGCAGGCGGUUUCGCGUAGCGAAAGCGAAUGCUUUGGGGUGGGGUGACUGCGUACCUUUUGUAUAAUGGGUCAGCGACUUAUAUUCUGUAGCAAGGUUAACCGAAUAGGGGAGCCGGAGGGAAACCGAGUCUUAAUUGGGCGUUAAGUUGCAGGGUAUAGACCCGAAACCCGGUGAUCUAGCCAUGGGCAGGUUGAAGGUUGGGUAACACUAACUGGAGGACCGAACCGACUAAUGUUGAAAAAUUAGCGGAUGACCUGUGGCUGGGGGUGAAAGGCCAAUCAAACCGGGAGAUAGCUGGUUCUCCCCGAAAGCUAUUUAGGUAGCGCCUCGUGAAUUCAUCUCCGGGGGUAGAGCACUGUUUCGGCUAGGGGGCCAUCCCGGCUUACCAACCCGAUGCAAACUGCGAAUACCGGAGAAUGUUAUCACGGGAGACACACGGCGGGUGCUAACGUCCGUCGUGAAGAGGGAAACAACCCAGACCGCCAGCUAAGGUCCCAAAGUCAUGGUUAAGUGGGAAACGAUGUGGGAAGGCCCAGACAGCCAGGAUGUUGGCUUAGAAGCAGCCAUCAUUUAAAGAAAGCGUAAUAGCUCACUGGUCGAGUCGGCCUGCGCGGAAGAUGUAACGGGGCUAAACCAUGCACCGAAGCUGCGGCAGCGACACUGUGUGUUGUUGGGUAGGGGAGCGUUCUGUAAGCCUGUGAAGGUGUGUCGUGAGGCAUGCUGGAGGUAUCAGAAGUGCGAAUGCUGACAUAAGUAACGAUAAAGCGGGUGAAAAGCCCGCUCGCCGGAAGACCAAGGGUUCCUGUCCAACGUUAAUCGGGGCAGGGUGAGUCGACCCCUAAGGCGAGGCCGAAAGGCGUAGUCGAUGGGAAACGGGUUAAUAUUCCCGUACUUGGUGUUACUGCGAAGGGGGGACGGAGAAGGCUAUGUUGGCCGGG